UGCAUCUGGCACCACUGGGAUUGUUUUGGGUACUGCAUCUGGCACCACUGGGACUGUUUUGGGUACUGCAUCUGGCACCACUGGGAUUGUUUUGGGUACUGCAUCUGGCACCACUGGGACUGUUUUGGGUACUACAUCUGGCACCACUGGGACUGUUUUGGGUACUACAUCUGGCACCACUGGGACUGUUCUGGGUACUGCAUCUGGCACCACUGGGACUGUUUCAGGUACUACAUCUGGCACCACUGGGACUGUUUCGGGUACUGCAUCUGUCACUACUUUGCGGGGGUCUGUAGGCCUACAUCCUGUGGAUGGUAGGCUUAUAAAUACAGAGAAACUUAUUAUAAGCCAUUAUAAUUAACAGUUGAAUUCUACCCUCCAAUAAUAAAUGUUUUGCACUGUAAAGUUAACUAAAAAGAAGAUUUACUAAAAUUAGAGUUCACAGAUGGCUGUACUGGAUCUGUGAACAUCUGUUAUCACCUUUUUUCGGCGAUGUAUUCUACUCUUUCAAUGUGAAUAGGUUCCUCCUGUGCAAAUACAGGUUUCAAAUAACUAAUAAAAGGUUGUUAAAAAGACCAGGAGCAGAGCUGUAGAUGAUUCUGUAAUAACUAUGAAAGCUGUAAAGCAUCAAAAAUAAGAUAUAGUAAAAUUAAUAGCCAAAAUGUGUCUGUUUUAAAAGUGGUUAUAAAAUCUUGGCCACAUGAUAAAAUAACUGUAAAAAGUACAGUAUAGUAAUUUUUUAAAGUUUUAAGUUUUGCCAAAACUUUAACUAUUGACGAUCAUUUAAAAACACCUUUUAACAUCUAGUUAAGGAUAUUUGAACUGAUUUCUUGGGUGGAGAAAAUAGCUGGUCAUGGAUUAUAUAGCAUGAAUGGAGAUUCUCCAUUGAAAGAAGAAUAUAGUCCAGGACUAAGCAUAAUCCCUAUCUGGGAAACCAACCUUAUGUUAUAACUGCACCUAAAUAACAAAACUGUUAACAUGACAAGUGAUGCCAAACUGUUGAACUGUGGCAUAUUUUGUGAAAUAACUCUUGUUCUCUUCUUCCAGCUGAAGUUUCAGGACUGUUUGCUCCAUACAUUAAUAACCCAGUCAGAUCCAGGAGGCAGUUUAGGCGUGUCCACACCAACACACUCUUCACAGACACUCAUACAUUUUGCUGUCUUGGACGGAAAGAUACAACUACAGUACCAACGAGAGUCACCAAAGAACACCUUCAGAGGGGGGGCUGGGUGAGAAGCGUCUGAACGUCCGAGGUAUGAAACCUGAUAUCAUAUUUAAAAAACAACAGUUAAAGUCAGAGACUGAGAGACAUCAGAUACUGAUAGUCUCCAUUUAUCAUUUGUGUCUAUUAGAUUCGAUCGAGCACAUUCAUAUGUGGGAACGCCCCUAAUAAGCCAACUUAACCCUGCUGAAAAAAACAGCACAGACCUGCAUGAAUUCUUUGCUGGUCUAAGCUGGUUUAUGUUGGUCUGGUGCUGGUUUAGCUAGUCACCCAGUAUGGUCAUGCUGGUUGAUUAGCAUUCCAGUAUCCUAAACAAAACAUAUGCUGGUGCUUGUCUGUGUUGUUUUUUUCUAGCGGGGACUUUUCAUAUGGAUUUGUCAGGUUUAAUGAUCAUAUAAUGAAAUGAAGUAUGAACCUCUCUUUUAACAUAAUCAAGGAAUUUUAUAUAAUUUAUUACAAGUGUAACACAAAGAUCAGAAACGGUGGAAAGUCUGGGGGGUACUUAAAUGGGCCCCACAUACCUUUUAAGGCAAUUUCUGUGAAGCCCCUAGCUCAGAGAAGUAAUAUAUAUCUAAAUCUUGAGCAACAUUGUCAUAUGUAAUUAAUUAAUUUGUCAAUCUGUGUAUUUUGUGAAUAUUAAUAUCAGUUACCUUAUUUGUCGUAAUCGUGAAGCAAGUUUUUUUUCCUGGAUCACAUUUUACCGCAGAGUUUUCAUGAUGAGUUUUAGGACAGAAACAGGGCACACAAACAUUUUAAACUAAAAGUUAUAAAAGACAGUGGUUCUAAAACUCACAGUCACAGAAGUGAAACUGAAGUUGUGUAUUGUUUGUCAUUUCACUCACGAGAGUUUGUGGAGUUCCUUUUCAUUUCAUUUCCAAAACUGAGAGAUGCAGGCGGGUUUGAGCUGAUGAGAAGUUCAGGAACCACAAGGAGCCGUCAUCUUGUAGUCGUGCCUUGCCCCAGUGAAGGACACACCGUGAGAUGUCUGAAGGAUCCUAGCACUGUGAUAAAUCAUGCACUCUUUACAUUCGCCCCCUGCAGAGGACUUUGAGUCCAGAGCGUGUAAGACUGGAUUUGUCAGUUCAUGUUGUUUCAUUUACCAGUCCAUCAAGUAAAUGUGAGGACUGUUGUGCAAUAUUGAAAACUAUAAAUUAGCUAAAUUAUUCGUCAUUAACCAAGUUAUUUAUCAUAUGUUACGUAAAGAUCCAAAUGUCAUGUCAUUGCUGUGGGUGUUCUGUCUUUACAAAUAGGAACUAAAUGAAGGACCAGUUGAUGCCCAGACUGGACCCUUGAUGCCAUGUCUGAACUGUGGAGAGGAAUUUCCCUUUUCACAGAUAAGACGACACAGUGAAGACGGCUCAAGGUGCUGCUUUGAGUGUAACGAUGAUUAUUAUGAUCAUGUUUUAGCAGUUAUCUUUGUUUCUUUGUGAGGUAAAUGCAGCUGAAUUUAUCUUAUUAUUAUCUGUCAUAUGGAAAAAACAGUCUAUAACCUUUUUUCUUAUUUUAGAAAAUGCAAUACUGUGUGGACUUUGUUGCGUGUGUAGUUAACAGUCCACUCCAAAAUUAGGCUUUAAGCAGGAUGCAGAAGGCUUUAAAAUGAUUCUCCAUCCUCAAAGAAAGUUUGAGAAGCCCUGCCGUAGGGGUCGGUCAUAUAUUGCUUAGUUCUGGUCAAAGAAUAAUAUAGACUUUGAACUGUAGAGAUAUAUGGACACAAAGUGUGGUACUUCAUUCUUUGUUUAGGUAUAACUAAAUAUAUUAUGAAGUGCAUGGAGAACGCUUAUCAUCUAACUCAGCUUUUCUCAGGUGAACUGCAGGUGAAAGGGAGAAAGAGAAUGAAAGAGAGAGAGAGAGUGCAGCUGUCCCUAGAACCAUUUUGACCUCUGCCUCCACCUCUCAGCACCCCGUUGUAGAUUUGGUGAUGGAGGAGAGUCUGGAGACAGGUUCAGUUGAGGGUUUGUACUCAGUGUGUUACAGAUUAAAGGACAAGUCAGGAGUUUACAGAAUUUAAGGUUUCUGAAUAUUUUCUGAAUAUUUUUCAGAAUUUCUGUGGCACUUUAAAUUUGAGUUGCCCAUUAGGAUAAAUGUACCAGGGAGUCAGACCCCUCGCCUGGUGAUGGACAGAUGUAGAUUUUUAAUUCUACUGCCUGAUAUUUUAUGUCUGUCUGUACAGCAAACUCAUCUGGCACUUCAGUGUCCAGGAGUCCAGUAUGUGUUGAUGGUCAGCACAUGCCCAACAGUGUACUUUAUCUCUCAGGUGAUCCUGGAAAGUCCAUAAGAAAUUGCUUUUUAAAAUGUUAAACCUUACUGGACAGAAUCAAUCUGAACAUCUCAAGCGACUCAGAAUUUUUUAUGUAUAUUUUUUGCAUUUCAUAUUUUUUUUGAUGUGUAUAUUAAAUCUGACUCUGUUUUUCUGUUAAGCUUGGAUUACAGAACCAGAUCCAGCCAAGGCAGUUCAGCUGUUCACCCAGUCAACACUCGAGGCUAAUAAAGACACAGACAACCUGAACUUCACCCUGAGCUUGAGGGAUUCCUUGGUGGAAAGGAACAGGGCUAUCAUUACUUUUUACAAAAGGCCAAAGGUGCAGUGGUCUAAUCCACUGCAGUGCAAAUUGACUGGUAAUGAUCCUAAUUAUUGAUUAAAUAACACAGUCAUAAAACAUACUGAGAAUGACGCAUAAUAUACCUAUUAAGUACCACCUAAGAAUGUGCAUAUGAUGGGUGAUUGACAUAUGACCUUGUGGGACGAACAAUGAUUUUUGGUAAAUCAUUUAUUGAUACAUCAUCUUUGGUAAAUCAUCAUUUAGCCUGUUUCUUAUUUAUGAAAUUACGUCACCUGAUUUAUUUAGUCACACUGGGGCUGUAGUUAUCCUCCAGUUGCUGGCUUGCUUCUUUUUUCUUUAGACUUUCAGUCGUUCAUUAUGGCUACAUUUAUAAGAAAAAUGAGGAGAUAUUAAUAAUAGACUUUAAAAAGUUAAUAUGUGUAAAAUCUCAGAGACCCCAAUUACAGAGUUAUUGUCAAACAUUCACAAAAACCAAUACAAAGCAAUAUUGGAGACGCAGCAUCAAAGCAAAAUUUGUAUCAUCUCCAGAGGAACUUGAUCACAUGCCUCGUCUGCUGGCCUUUAGAAUGUAAUGCUUACUCAGAGGAGGCAGUUCAUUAGAUACGUACUGGGUACGUUCUCUGUAUUCUCACAUAUGAAACUUUGAUUUGCUUGAUUCUUGAAGUCGUCUCAGCAAUGGUAAGCAGGGACGAAGUCUGCUUCACUGCAUUGCCUGACUUUCAGUGUUUCAAUUUGAAAGGUGACACAGCAAUCGGUGAGGGAGUCAACAGGUAUGUGCUGUCUACAGUGAUGGAACAUCUUCAGAAUGGCUUCCUUCUUGAGGAAGAGACGGGUACAUCUACUGAUUUUGGUAGCCUUGCAGCCUUUUAAAACACACUUUUGUCCCUUUAAAAUGGACACCCGUCAAUCAAAAUUAAUUGUGUUAAUUGUGUAAAGACUUUGCUCUUUGAGGGCGAGCAAGACCAUCUUGUUCCUUCCACAUCUCGGGCACUUUUGGAAAGUGAUUUUUGUGUCAUAGCUGGACGCAUAAUUGGGCACUGUUUUUUAAAUGAUGGCCCACGUCUUGCUGGGUUGAGCCCUGCCAUAGUGCAUGUACUCUUUGGAGGGGAGCAAGAGACGGCAGCAAUUAGCGUAUCUGACUGCGUGGACCAGGAUGUUCGGGAUGUCAUCCACCUGGUUUGGGAAAAAAUAUUUUUAAUUUUAGUUUAUUUACCAAAGCCAUUUUUAAAUAUGUUUACUUUCUUCAAAAGACACAUUAUUUGUAAUGUCUGUUCUGAGCUUGUAAAUUUGUUUGCAUUUGAACCUUUUUGCAAACUCUCAGUUUUCAUUGAACCCUCUGAUGUCUUUAAUCAGUUGGAAGGAACCCAGGAACUUUCUGAGGACCAGAAAUCCAUGGUCCUCUCUGUGAGCUGCCCUGGGACUUGCCUGGUGUUACGUCAGAAAACAGGUGGUGGCUUAGGGAGAAAAUUCUUCUCCAUGCCGUUCUUGGAAGAACUACCAAGCAAGUGAAGCAAAUUAAGAGAGGCCUGAAAGACACUGGUGUUUCGGAGCUUUUCAGCUCUGGACCAGACACUGUGCCAAUCUUGUUCCCAAGGGCCACUGAGACAGAGAUAACAUCUCAAAUGAUUCUGGACGAGAUUAUCUGGCCACGGGAGGAAGAUGUUGAUGAAGACGUCCUCACGCUGGAGGACCAGUGCCGUGUGCUAGGCUGUUUCCGGAAGUUUAUAGAAACUGGGUCCUCUGAGGUCUUGAAGAGUUUGCUGUCAUUCUGGACUGGCUGGGAUGUCCUUCCCCCAUCACUGGAGGUGGAAGUUGUUGAUUGUGACCUUCCCCAAUCAUCAACAGGCUUUUUAACUCUAAAGCUUUCGAAAAAUACUGCAAAUUAUGAAGAUUUCCUCUGAGACCUGAUGGCAAGCAUCUCCUCCUCCUACUCUGGAUUCGGUCAGAUUUGAGCCAAAGACAACAUUAACACUUUUUGUUGCAAAGCUUUAUUUGCAUUUUUUGUUUAAUAAAAUUGGUGAGAUUUCAUACAUGCAUUACUGUUAACUGUUCAAUUAGAACAAUG
This is a long non-coding RNA of Colossoma macropomum (tambaqui), 5848 nucleotides long. RefSeq lists it as uncharacterized. The transcript has 4 exons. NCBI's taxonomy places the organism in Eukaryota, Metazoa, Chordata, Actinopteri, Characiformes, Serrasalmidae. The record is from RefSeq and is a predicted model, not a curated record.